RNAcentral lists this long non-coding RNA (901 nucleotides) under Lathyrus oleraceus (garden pea). RNAcentral describes it as "Pisum sativum (pea) long non-coding RNA (PSAT_LNC037959)". The record is from RNAcentral. Lineage: Eukaryota; Viridiplantae; Streptophyta; Magnoliopsida; Fabales; Fabaceae.
ACAUAUAAUGAAUGAAUCACUAGUUAGCAUGCCAUAUCAGUAUCAAUGCAAAUGACAAGAAAAUCUUUAGGAGUCAGCUUCGACGCGAACUUACCAUAAUAUGCUUUCAAAAUAACCCCAUUUCAAUUAGGUCUUUUGAGGGUUGUAAUGUGGCCUAGUUCACGGUUUUAGGAAGAAAAGAUAUAAGGCUCAAAUCAUAUUCUAACCCACUCAAUCUCUAUGAUAUUCUCCAGUCAUACAUUCAGUUAGCCUGACACAAGCGUUCAUCUUUCAAAAAAGGAUUUUGAAUAGUCACGAUGAUGGUUAUGGAACCCAAUGAGAGUUUGCAGCGACAACCACUCACCUUCGGCUUUUGUUUGCAGCCACACGAAUUUGCUCUUGCUGAAGAUUUUUGUUAUUGAUCCUCUUAUUCUUUUAUUUUACUUUGUCUUUCCCUUAUUUUGGCUGGACUGAUCCUUUGGGUUUGCAGUCCACCGGGAUGCCCUAACUUUUGCCUACGUCGAUCUUGUUUUCAAGUUCUUGACUUAGCGGGCUUUUUUUUUCGCUUUUGAUUUUAUUUCUCAUCUUUUUUAUUGGAGCAAAUCAUGUGACAUUUGCUUGUUUAAUUUGUUGUGAGGGUCAUGAAUGUAUCACUCCUUUUGUUGGUAAGGUAUAAUCAUUACGAAUUUGUGAUUCAAUCCUCUUGAGAGGGAUAUGAUAUGAUUGAUCACUUGAUGUGAUAUUCUCUUUCUAAAUUUAGAACGCAAGGUCAAACUAACUGAAGAUUACCCUUCCCCUGGUUAAAAUUGGGGGUUUUAUGUAUGUAAAGAAAGAAGUUCCUACUUCAAGGCCCAAAUGGGUGUACUAGGGAUUAUCUUCCUUAUACCUCUGGUGUUUAGGGAUUUGAAACAAUGCCUUACAU